GCAUUAAUGGGGUAGUGGUAACCUGGGUCGUUGCCAUAUCAUGUUCCAUGCCACAGUUGCUCGACCCGCCGGGGGUUCGAUUCCCUCUUAAUGCA
Molecule: non-coding RNA, 95 nt
Organism: Marasmius oreades (fairy-ring Marasmius)
Lineage: Eukaryota; Fungi; Basidiomycota; Agaricomycetes; Agaricales; Marasmiaceae
Source: the annotation of a RefSeq genome assembly